This is a non-coding RNA of Camelina sativa (false flax), 222 nucleotides long. The record is from RefSeq and is a predicted model, not a curated record. NCBI's taxonomy places the organism in Eukaryota, Viridiplantae, Streptophyta, Magnoliopsida, Brassicales, Brassicaceae.
UAUAUUUUUCAGUCAAUCUUUGUUAAGAGUUUGGAGGAGGUUGAUCCAUGUGAAGACUUGACAGAUGAUGAUAUACGGACUGCAAUUCAGAAUGCAACUGGUCCAAGAUCCGCAUUAUUUGUUCCAGAUGUACCAUUUGAAGUUCUUGUUAGGAGACAAAUAUCUCGUUUGUUAGAUCCUAGCCUUCAGUGCGCUAGGUUCAUUUUUGAUGAGCUAAUAAAG